CGGCGCCGACCACGGCACACACCGACCUAAUACUCCGCUUUCAGACCUUACAUGACAGAGCCCUACUAAUGGAGGCUGCACGUGGAAGAACACCACUAUCGUUUGAGGGAGCCACGCUGUCCAUAUUCCCGGACCUGACCAAAAGCACUAUGGAGUGGCGCAAGGCCCUGCAACCCCUGCUACAACACCUCAGAAAUAAGAAUAUCCAGUACAAAUGGGGGUCUCCGAAUACGAUUACCUUUACUCAUCAGGACACAACGUACCGAGCCAGGAGCUACUCCGAACUGGACACACACCUACGCAAUGCAGGACUGUUGCCGCCCGC
This is a non-coding RNA of Pelobates cultripes (western spadefoot toad), 325 nucleotides long. The record is from the annotation of a GenBank genome assembly. NCBI's taxonomy places the organism in Eukaryota, Metazoa, Chordata, Amphibia, Anura, Pelobatidae.